CGUCAAGUCAUCAUGCCCCUUAUGCCCUGGGCUGCAAACAUGCUACAAUGGCCGGUACAAUGGGCUGCGAUCCCGUGAGGGUGAGCGAAUCCCCAAAGCCGGUCCCAGUUCGGAUCGGGGUCUGCAACUCGACCCCGUGAAGUCGGAGUCGCUAGUAAUCGCGGAUCAGCAAUGCCGCGGUGAAUACGUUCCCGGGCUUU
Molecule: ribosomal RNA, 200 nt
Filed under: uncultured organism
Description: partial small subunit ribosomal RNA
Rfam family: Bacterial small subunit ribosomal RNA
Source: RNAcentral